AAGGGCUUAGUUUAAAAUAAAACAUUAACUUGUCAAGCUAAAAAUACUAAAUACAGUAGCCCUUA
This 65-nucleotide transfer RNA is filed under the name Scoparipes salvazai. RNAcentral's name for it is "tRNA-Asp". It matches the Rfam family "tRNA". From Rfam's summary of the family: Transfer RNA (tRNA) molecules are approximately 80 nucleotides in length. Their secondary structure includes four short double-helical elements and three loops (D, anti-codon, and T loops). Lineage: Eukaryota; Metazoa; Arthropoda; Insecta; Hemiptera; Cydnidae. The record is from RNAcentral.